RNAcentral lists this non-coding RNA (208 nucleotides) under Micromonospora krabiensis. Lineage: Bacteria; Bacillati; Actinomycetota; Actinomycetes; Micromonosporales; Micromonosporaceae. The record is from RNAcentral.
AUGGUGUCUGCCGUAGCUGGUUCGGGUGCCUAUCCAGGGCGGCCGAGGCAAGAGGGAACCCGGUGCGAGUCCGGGACUGCCCCGCAGCGGUGAGUGGGAACGACCGCCGUCAUGAAGCACUGGGCCGAGCAGGCCUGGGAAGCGACGACCAGUAGGAGUGAGUAGGACGCCCACGAGUCCGAAGACCUGCCAGCGCGCCGUCCGCGUA